ACAGCGAUAGUGUGUAUCAGUGUUAUUGUGUGUUUAUUACAUUUUUUCGAAAAUAUUCUAUGCUAAAUUAAGUUGAUAAAAUGAAUAGUUGUGUUUUAUUUUUUAUGUUGAGAAUCACAACAAUCUAUUUCUCUACAUAU
Small nucleolar RNA from Vicia villosa (hairy vetch), 140 nucleotides. RefSeq annotates it as small nucleolar RNA snoR135. NCBI's taxonomy places the organism in Eukaryota, Viridiplantae, Streptophyta, Magnoliopsida, Fabales, Fabaceae. The record is from RefSeq and is a predicted model, not a curated record. The transcript has a single exon.